UCGUGUAAUUUGGGUCAAUAUCUGCUGUAUUUACGGUUUUACCCAGUGAAUACAGGCGACUUCCAGUUCUCAGUAUUUUGUCUUUGAUUGUCACGAUUUACAUCAAUGAUUAUUGAAACAUAACAUAACAUAAUGAUAAUAUUGUUACAACUAUUAUUAAAGAUCGCGUAGCCGUCCGUGUAGAUAAUAACUACUAAGAAGUGCUAGAAUAGACAACAGCUUUAUUUAAUCGCCGAUUGUGAACCGCGGAUACGCAAUUUAUAGCGUAGAGCAACACACACAUGGACCAGCACUUUUCAAUACACAAUUAAACCUACCAAAAGUUAUUAGUCGAAAUAUUCAUUUACGUUUACUCUGAUUAUUUACAAUUACCCCGCUUGACCCUAUAAUGGUUAAUGUUAUUGUUUCGACACGAAGUUCCUUGACGACUACUUCCGACAUGUCGAAAAACCUCUUGGAGCGUGUAUGAGUGUAUG
Daktulosphaira vitifoliae (grape phylloxera) is the source of this 476-nucleotide long non-coding RNA. RefSeq lists it as uncharacterized. The record is from RefSeq and is a predicted model, not a curated record. The transcript has 2 exons. Lineage: Eukaryota; Metazoa; Arthropoda; Insecta; Hemiptera; Phylloxeridae.